CCGAAGACACUGUAUGCAUCCUAAACAUGAACGAUGGGCCCACCGCAAAAGUGUGUAUCAUCAGAAAGAUGCUGGAGCACAAGGGCCAUGAGAAUUCGCACUCAGAGAAUGUGACAAACCGCAUCCACCCAGACCUGGUCGCAUAUAUUGAGAUCUUGGAUCUUCAAGGCAAGGCAUGACAUUGCUAACAGUAUCAUGAAUAGGGUGAAGAGCAGUGGGUGGCGGACAGGGGAUUCAUCCCAUCUCUCAGGGACAUCCUGUAUCUAAAGAAUCAAAUGAAGACCCUGGACAGGCAUCAUGAAAACAACUAAUUGAGUGUUGACUCGUUUGUGAAAACAACCCUUAAGAGUGAGACAUUGUACUAUCAGCCUCUCUGCAGAGCAACAGGUCAACCACUGAUACUCAUAUUUCAAAAUGCAGAGCAGAGGCACAAAAUGUUGCAGUGUGGGAAGAAUCUACUUUCCAUGGACGCUUCAUAUUUUGGCAGUAGUUGGCAGGGAUGAAAGUGGGCAUGGCUCCCCGGUGGCAACAUUCAUCAUCACUGAAGAGACCCAGAAAAACAUUGCCUUCUGCCUGAGAAAGAUCUGGACAGCUGCUCACGACUUUGAGACAAGGAAAUGAUUACCUCAUAGAAGUAGACUCUUACAGCAACGACAGGACAUACUACAUACAACCUUCAUGGGGAGAAAGACUAAUGAAGAUGCUUCAGGAUCAUUGGAGGAACCACUUCCCUAUCCCUUUGGCCUACCUAAAAAUAACUGGUUCCCUUGUUCUCCUAUGUGGGCUGACCACUGGAGGAAGUUCUUCCACGAGAACAGCAACACCAACAAUCUCACCGAGAGAUUUUUCCUGCACUUUAAAUAUCAAUUUCUGAAGGGUACUGCCAAUCGAAGACUAGAUGAUUUUCUGAAACUCCUUGCAAGUCAGGCGAAUGGAUAUUUCAGGUAUUUAGAUGUUUUUCCCCCAACUAACACACCACUGUAACAACAU
RNAcentral lists this long non-coding RNA (990 nucleotides) under Salmo salar (Atlantic salmon). RNAcentral's name for it is "lncRNA (ENSSSAG00000092731.1)". Lineage: Eukaryota; Metazoa; Chordata; Actinopteri; Salmoniformes; Salmonidae. The record is from RNAcentral.